AGAGACAGCAGCAGCCGCGGGAAUACGAAGGGUGCAAGCGUUAAUCGGAAUUACUGGGCGUAAAGCGUGCGUAGGCGGUUUGUUAAGUCUGUUGUGAAAUCCCCGGGCUCAACCUGGGAAUGGCAAUGGAUACUGGCAAGCUAGAGUGUGUCAGAGGAUGGUGGAAUUCCCGGUGUAGCGGUGAAAUGCGUAGAGAUCGGGAGGAACAUCAGUGGCGAAGGCGGCCAUCUGGGACAACACUGACGCUGAGGCACGAAAGCGUGGGGAGCAAACAGGAUUAGAUACCCCUGUAGUCCCUGUCUCUUAUAC
RNAcentral lists this ribosomal RNA (309 nucleotides) under uncultured bacterium. RNAcentral's name for it is "partial 16S ribosomal RNA". It matches the Rfam family "Bacterial small subunit ribosomal RNA", at positions 504 to 807 of the family's 1533-position model. The record is from RNAcentral.